This is a non-coding RNA of Chloroflexi bacterium RBG_13_51_36, 74 nucleotides long. Lineage: Bacteria; Bacillati; Chloroflexota. The record is from Rfam.
CGGGGUGUAGCGCAGUCUGGUAGCGCACCUGAAUGGGGUUCAGGUGGUCGGUGGUUCAAAUCCACUCACCCCGA